Molecule: long non-coding RNA, 4072 nt
Filed under: Nicotiana benthamiana
Lineage: Eukaryota; Viridiplantae; Streptophyta; Magnoliopsida; Solanales; Solanaceae
Description: long non-coding RNA (NBEN_LNC027469)
Source: RNAcentral
GGGAGUCGUUGGAUUAAUGUUUGAUCCAAGAUUUCCUUUUUUUGAUUUUUGUUAAAAAUGGGAUUUUCAUAUUUUGUUUGUGGUCCCGUAUGCAUUUCUUGGAGAGGAAGGAGGAGGAAGCUUCUAGGUUGCUUAUAUAUUUAGGGACUGAAUUUUCUGAGACGGGAAAAAAAAUUGGAGAGAAUAGAAGCUAGGGUUCUCUGAUUUCUUGGUUUGUUCUUCGAAUUUCAAUAGAGUACUCUCUUUAGUGUUCUUUAAUUCUGUUUUGUUAUUUUUUCAUAUAUAUAUAUAUAUAUAUAAAAUUAGUUUCAUCUCAUUCGGAUUUCACAAUCAAAGUCAGAAAAUACAAACAAAAUUGUUAGAUCAUUUCUUCACUAGGAUUCCGAUUCUGAUUGAAGCAUGGAGUUCGACUGAGUUUCUGGUGGUACUUGUUUGAAGUUGUGGUCGCCGUUCGUGGUUCCAGAUUCACUUGUCGCUAUUGCAUUCAUUUCCGUUCGAACUAGCCGACAUCGAAGUUAAUUGAAAUUUUGAACAUCCAGGUUCAUUUCUGUAUUCCUUGUCGAGUUUGGUUUUAGUUAGAUUCGAUCUUCUCCUGUUGCUUGCGGUCUGUUUCAUUUUCAUGCUUGAAUGUACAUGUUUUUAGUCUGCUUCUGUUUUGAUAUGUUGGAUGCUUUUAAUCGUUUGGAUGCGUGAAUGUUUCCGUUUGGCUGCUAGAAAAUAAAAGUAUAGUUCGUCCUUCGUGGUUCCAUUGAAAUUCUCUGUUCGCAUUAUUGAUUUUGGGUACUGAACUUCUGAUUUCUUCAUGAUCUGCUCGUGCAUUUUUGUAUUUGGACGUCACUCACCGCUCAUGAAUUUCUUGAAGUAUCGUCUUGUAGUUCAGUCAUAAUCACGCAUUACACUUCCUAAAUUCAAGAUUAUCAUGUUGUUUUUUCCUUAUUGAAUUUGGUUGCUUAUUGGAAUCGAGAGAAUUAGUUUGGUAUUAAGAGUAAUUUCCCCAAGGAAAAUAUCACUAGAAUGCACUUUAGCGCAACAUAAUCUUCACUGCUCGAGUGGUAGCAUGUGAUGUGAGUCAUUUUUGCAUCGAAGUUUAACUAUUGGUUUGUAAGUGCAUAUUGUGAGUCUGGUUUCAGAGAAUUGUGAUAGUUUGGUGCAUAAGGGUAUAUCUUAAGGGUUUUAUCUAGUUUUAUUAAGGUUUAUAGUAGGAUAGAUACAUUACUUUUGUUGGGAAAUUGGUAGACUCCUGCCUUAAAUCAAAAUCUAAACUAAGAGUGUUAUAAAGCUAUUCCCCUCAUUUGUUUAAUGUAAAUCUGAUAUUACUCUCAAUCUAAAGUAAAAAAUAAUAUCCUUAGUCAUUCCUAAUUCCUUGUAGCGCUAGAAUACAUAUGCUUAGAGGAAAUUAAAUAACCUAUUUAAUUAGUGUUAAAAAUCAAAUUACAAUUGUUAGUUUGCACCAAUUAAGUUGGGUAGGUAUAUGUUGAAGAUUCCCUUUCAUUCGUUUAUGUUACAGUAAAGCGUAUUCAUGGUGAAGUUCUUGUCGACAACCUUUGAUGAUGCAAAAUUUUGCUGGCAUUAAUUCAAUUUUUCUUCCCUUGAUGUUUUAGCUCUCUUUCAUUCAUAAAUCUCGUAGAUAAUCUUGGACGUCUCUGUUGUGCUACACGGUCUACUGAUUUAUAUGUGUUGUUGUUUGUAAGCCUCGUAUAGAGUUGGUUGUGGGGAUGGGGAAGAGACUAGCCCAUUAGCGUUUAAGCUCGUUUGCAUGCUAGGAGUGGGUUUGGUCUAAAAAUAUGAAAAUGAUAAGUCAAAGAACGUGACCCUGAGUUGAAUUUCUUUUAGUUUUUCUCGUAUUUAAUUAUUCCCGUUUUAAUAUUAAAUGCUAGGAGCAUGUUAGGCCGACCAUACUUGGGUAAGCAAGCCUUAGGAUUUUGUUAGUUUGGAGGCGAGAGGUCCUCCCUUAAUUAAAUUUAUCCGGAGAAUGCCCUGAAGGACUUGUGUAUAUCUUAUUCCGGGGAAUACCCCGAAUUACUUGUAUUUGGAGGCCUAAAGUGAAACUCAUAGUAUUUUUAGCUUUAUUUUCCUUUUAUUAGGUGGGAGCGACCUCAGACCUCUUGUGUCCGUUUUCUUUUCUGUGUUUGUUUUUCUCAAUUCGAAUAUUUUAAAAGCCAACUAGAUCGAGUACGCAACCGUGACCUUCACCGGACUUGGGAGUGCCUAACACCUUCUCCCCGAGUCAAAUGAUCCCCCUUACCCAAAUCUCUGGUGCAGAUUUACUUUUGAGUCCAAAGUGUUUCUAAAAGGAAAAAUCAUUUUUUUUAAACCGGUGGCCUGGCACACCGAAAUCAAAUGCCAGGUGCCGACUCUGAGUUAUUUCCUUUCGAAAUAAAUUUUUGUCACUUUUCAAUUGAAAACCUCUUUUCAAACUUUUAUUAAAUCUUUUUAUUUAUAUAAGAGGAUUUAAUGAAGUUUGAUUUUAAAAAGGGGUGUGAAAAGUACGAUUGUGUUUUUCUAGUUUAAAUUUUAGUUUAGAAUAACAGGUUCAGUUAGUUUGCUGCAGUCGUUUCAAUUAGUUCAGUCGCUUAGAGUUAGUUGAUUAGUUCUUAGUACUUGCAGGAUUAGCUAACCUUGGUUAAAGGGGUGGGUUAGAUUAGUCUAGUGAUUUCAAAUAAGUUCAAGGGGUAUUUUGGGUAUUCCAAGAUGGAAAGAAUGUUGUAGGUCAUACUAGAAUAGUUUAGAUUCUUCUAGAAAAGGAUUUUAAUGUAUAUUUUCACAAGUUAAGGGAUUGGCUUUAGGAACAAGUUAGAAAAUAAAGGACCAAAACUGAAAAUGAAUAGGGACUAGAGAAGAAAACUAAAAAUCUGACUUGCAUCUCCCUUUUUGCCUGUAAAAGGGCAUCAUUAUUGCCUUUACACACAAGUUUUGGAGCCUCAAAUUCCCCCCAAAAACCUCUCCAUAAGAUCUGAGUACUGAAAUUCAUAUUUCAAAUCAGCAGAAAUUUAGAACUCCUCUUUAGAUCUUAGAAUUCUAUUGAAAUCCAAAAAAAAAGGAAGAAAAAAUGUAGGAAAAAAAUUCAAAUAUACUGUUUGAUUGCUUUUCCUUGGGUCACCUGUGAAUUCUAGUUUCAUUUCAACUUUCAGCUCACUUCAAAAACCAAAAAAUAGUUCGAAUUCCAUCGCUUCUGUUUGAUACCUGAAGUUUGAUAGAAUUUGAGUCAAUUUGAACUAAAUCUGAUUGGAUGAGUUAACUGGUGUGUCAAUGGCUGCAUCUGUUUUAUUUCUGGAUUCAAUUGCCCGUUGAUUGGGUUAUUUAGAGUUCACUUGACUGAAUGUGGAUGUGCUGGGUCAAUUUUAUGGUUAUUUGGCUUAGUCUCGGGUUAAUUAAAUGAAUAUGCUUGGUUUUUCAAUUCACUUCUGAACUGAUUGAAUCAUGCUGGACUAUUAUUACUCAGUCAUCGAUUGCUUGGGAUUUUUAAUUGGUUUCUGAGUUGCUGCUGAAGCUAUACUGCUGCUAACCACUCAUUUUUCUAUUUCAAUCCCAAUUUCAUGUACACAUUAUGAACUCACCUUGAUGUUGCUUUGAAGUGAAGUUGAAAUAAAAUUUUACUAGACUUAUGCUCAUUUGAAAGCUGUUUGUUGUCUACAAUUCAAUAGGUGUUAGUAUGAUUGAUGUUAGUUAGUUAUUUUGUAUUAUAUGAAGAAUAGAUACAUUUGAACUCUUAAUUUGGACUGUAUUGACUUAUAUACGAUUACACACAAGUUUGCUUGGUUGCAUGUCUAUGUAUCUAGGAAAUGCAUAGAGAAUUUUGUUGUGACGUUUAGACAUUAGAGGUGUGUAUUCGGCGGAUUAUUAUAUUUAACGAUUCAAUUUAUCGAUUAUCAAAUUAUAAAUGCAAUAGUUCGCUAUCCAUCCAAUAAAAAAAUGGACCGAUUGAUAUCGGAUUAACGAUUAUCCGAUUUUUUGGCUAAAUCAAAUAAAAAAAGUUGAACCCUAGUUCUUUUGGUUGCAUAGCUAAGAAUCAACACUUUAACUUCAGAAGACUGAAGUCCAAUUUAGAAAGAGCAAAGGUACAUCAUGAUAC